RNAcentral lists this long non-coding RNA (8086 nucleotides) under Malus domestica (apple). RNAcentral describes it as "long non-coding RNA (MDOM_LNC013992)". Lineage: Eukaryota; Viridiplantae; Streptophyta; Magnoliopsida; Rosales; Rosaceae. The record is from RNAcentral.
AAACGUCCAUCCUCAUGUCUUCAUGCUUGCACUAUCCAAUCUUGGCCCAAAAAUGCUCCAAAUAGCACUUUGUUGCUAACUUUGUUAUUUGAACCUACAAACACACGAAAAUAGCUUGCAGUACUAAAAUAACUAGAAUUAAACUAAGUAAAUGCCAAGAAACAAGCUAACUAAGUUGCAUAAAUAUGCUCCUAUCAAAUUCCCCCACACUUAGCUUUUGCUAGUCCUCGAGCAAAACAAAAGAAACAAAAUGAAACAAAACAACAAAACACAACCUAACCUUCUAACAUUUGCCUCAGGGAUUUCCAAUGCACAUGACAUGUUAAAAAUCAUCAUUCCCACAAAUUUUGGUUAUCUUCACACUUAAGCACAAACUUAAUCACAGUCACUACUUACUAGUUCACAAUUAUCCAAUUAAAACAAUGUUUUGAAUGUAGUAACAUGCCUUAGAGAAUUUGUUCAAUUCCUUACAAGAUACUCUUUAUUUUCUCACACAUUUUCUGACUACACACCCUAUACUAGGUAUAUGUGAGAAGAUUGAUGUAAACAUGAAAGACUAGGACUCACAUAUGUUAUAACAAAGAAAGCAAUUUUCUGGAGUUAUUAAGCAUGUUUAGAUUUGAUCUCAUGAAUGGAAUGGUACUAUUUAGAUGCGAGAAUCAGUGACACCAUAUGCUCAUACCAAUUUCGAACUCCACAAAUUGAAAUACACAACACUCAAGAUUAAAGUCAAGGGUUGUAACAGGGCUUGAGGGUAAUGGCUAAUAAAGAAAGGAUAAGAAUAACAAACGUUCUUAAAGCGAUAGCAAGCAAAGCAAUGAAAUAGACACUCGGAAUUCACUUUAGAAUGCAGAAUCAACUUUUAAAUACAAAGGGAAGAUUCAUGAAACACUUAGGGCCGAAUUCAAUGUUUUGGACCCUUUUUUACAAACUUUUUUUCUUUUCACUCUUUUUUUUUUCUUUUCUACCCGUGCCUUAUUAAGGACUUUGGCACACACACAUACACACACAAGAAUCACUUCUGCCACACUUGCUUUCUGCAAUACAUUGAUAAAAAAAGAGUUCAUUUUAAGUCAUGCUUUACUAUGCUUCAAGAACAAGGGUAUGGAUGAUCCUAAAACUAGGCUAGGUAAGGAUAGUGUGGGUUAACAAAGAACAUAGGCUUAACAAGGCUCAACGGGGUUAAACUUAAACACAUAAUGAAAUAGGGGCACGGCAAUUUGGCUUUGGUGGUCACUACACAACUUCAUCUUGAAUAUGUGUUAUGCAAAUCAAUAGCGUACUUUGAAUGAAAUAGGUAUGAGUUCUAGCAUUUGGAACUAAAUGAUGAAACGCCUUCUAAGUAGCAACCAAGCAAAGAAUAAUGAGAUCAUGCAACGACUUUAGAAAACAAUGAUGCACAGAUUAUUAACUCUCCAAAUAAACGUUUAGGCUCAAGUCUCACAAGGUUGUAGCGUACAUUUGAGUUCAUUCUUUCAAGCAUGUUACAAAACUGAUUUUUCCUUUAUGAUUAGAUGUAAAUUCAUAAAUUAUAACCACAACCAAGCAUACAUCAAAGAGUAAAUCAAAUUUUCAUCCAUGUUUAUAACUCUUUUUAACAGUCAUGUAAUUAAAAACCAAAUCCUCAUCAUUGUGUUGGAAGGUACCCUAAGACACAAAUAAACAUACAAAAACAACUCUUUUUGGGUUUUUCAAAACAAUUUUUCAAAUUUUUAAGAGAUUUUCGGAUUUUUAUGUCAAAACACACUGAAACACUCCAAAACAGCUUAAAAACACUUAAAACAGCAAGGAACAACACUAGAAGUAAUGGGUGAUAAACUCCUACGAAUUUCAUGCAAAACAAUGGUUUGCCCCCCCACACUUAAAUCAAACAUUGUCCUCAAUGUUUCAAGCAUAAACUCACACAAAAAACAAGCAAACAAACAAACAACGAAUAAACAUGACAAGUAUGGCAAAGUAAAAACCAGACAGAGUAGAGUUUAAGAAUGCAAAUCUGGUUUUGGAGAUAAAUGAUCUUGUUGUCUUUCCACAGCUUUGAUCUCGAACUGGUUUGAAAUUCUGAGCGAGGAAUAUGAGAGUUCCUUGGUUUCAAAUCAGACUCCUUCUGCUGGGUUGAUUUGAUUGUGUAGUCUGCAUUUUUCUCUGCUUGUUUCUUCUGCACGGCAGGCAGGCAAGAGGUAGAGGUGUUGGUCUGUUUCUUUCUUCAAUCUUUCCAAGUGCCUACCUCUUGCUUUCUUUGUCCUUGUCCCUAGCUGAGGAUGAAUUGGCAAAUUGUCUCCACAUGCUUCGAGGUAUCAUUUUCACUUCCCUUAUCUGUUCCCUAGGUAGAUGUGGUAGACGAAGAGGAAGCAUAAGAUGAUGAAGAUGAGUACUCAAGAGCAAGGCUAGGUAAGCAAUCAGGAAGGGGUUCCAGGCAGUCGGUUCCAGAUCGGAAGAUUGAUACCAAGUGCUGGCUGAUUGCUUUCUUUCUCCUUGUCCCAAAACAACGACAAGGAGAAUGAUAGGGAGAAAGCAUGAUAUAAGAUACUCUUGCUUUCAACCUUCAUGAUAUGAAAUACUUUUGCUUUAGAUGAGUUGUUUGCAGAGGUACCCCAAGGAAUAAAGAACACUGAGUGACUCGAGAGGGUUUGUUGGAAAGGCAUUCUCGGAGAAGAAAAAGGGUUAUGUAUGUCUGCCUUGCAAUGAAGGGUGAAGGGUGACAUUUAUAGGAAUUAAUAACCGGUACUAUUCUUUCACUCUUGUCAGUAACCGUUGGAUGAUUUAAUAGUAAACUUUACGUGCUUUCUACUUCACAAGAGAUCUUCAACAGAUUGCCCGUAAUUUUCGCAAGGCUGAGUGUACAUGUGACAGGCGCUGACACGUCUGGAAAAGCUAGUGCCUCUUCGAUAUCUGGAAUCGGCGCUUCGACAAACUACCCGUGAUUUUCGCAAAGCUGAAUGUGCAUGUGACAGAUGCUGACACAUCUGGAAAAGCAGAUGCCUCUUCGAUAUCUGGAAUCGGCACUUCGACAAACUGCCCGUGAUUUUCGCAAAGCUGAGUAUGCAUGUGAUAGAUGCUGACAUGUCUGGAAAAACAAGUGCCUCUUCGAUAUCUGGAAUUGGCGCUUCGACAAACUGCCCGUGAUUUUCGCAAAGCUAAGUGUGCAUGUGACAGAUGCUGACACGUCUGGAAAAGUAGAUGCAUCUCUGAUUUCUGAGCUCGCCCCUUCGAGUUCUGAGCUCCGUCGAGUGCAGAGGUUGCAUGUGACAAGUGCGGACAAAUCUGGAAAAGAAGAUUGGCUCGUGGUUUCUGAGCAAGCCCAGCUUUUGAGAAAGCUAGCGCCUCUUCAAUUUUUGAAUUGGCUUCUUCGAUUUCUGAGCUCGCCUAUUCGAUCUCUGAAAUCCCGUCGAGUGCUAGUUUUUAUAGAGGUGCGCAGUAUGUUUCAAAGCACACUUGAAUUUCUGCAUGUAGAAACUCCCUUCUUGCACUUCUACGAUCUUGACUUGUCCGACCUCUUCUUUCUUCAACACCUUUGAAAAUGUCUGGCCCCUCCGACCGUCGUUUUGACUUGAACCUUGGUGAAGAGGUAGCCAUGCCUUCUCCAGACAACAUAUGGUGCCCAUCCUUCAUAUCCCCUACUGGUCCUCUUACCGUUGGGAAUUCGGUGAUGAAGAAUGAUAUAACCGCUGCGGUGGUGGCUCGGAACCUUGUCAUUCCCAAAGAUAGCAGAUUGUUUUCCAAACGGUCUAAUGAGUUGGUUGUUAAGGAUUCUCUGGCUCUCAGUGUGCAGCGUGCAGGUUCUGUGUCUACUAUAGCCCAACGCAUAUUUGCUCGAACCCGUCAAGUUGAAUCGUUGGCGGCUGAAAUGAUGAGUCUCAAACAAGAGAUUAGAGGGCUCAAGCAUGAAAAUAAACAGUUGCACAAGCUCACACAUAACUAUGCUAUAAACAUGAAGAGGAAGAUUGACCAGAUGCAAGAAUCUGAUGGUCAGAUUUUACUUGAUCAUCAGAGGUUUGUGGGUUUGUUCCAACAGCAUUUGCCUUCGUCUUCUGGGGCUGUACCGCGUAAUGAAGCUCCAAAUGAUCAACCUCCGAUGCCUCCUCAUUUUGGGGCUCCGCCGACUGCUAAGGCUCCGCCGACUACUGAGACUUCUCCUAAGCAGCCUUUGUGAAGGCUUCCUCUUGUAUUUUCUGCUUAAUGUUCCUUUUUUUUUUUUAUGAAAAUGAAUGUAAAAAUACCUUGCAUAACUGUCAAUGUUUCAAAAAUAAUCCCACACCAAAAACAAUUAAACAAGCAACAAAUAAAAAUGACAAUCAUGGCAAAAUAAAACUACAGAAUUAAUUGUGGAGCGAUUCAAAAAAUCUUCCUUAUUUGAAUAUAUGGGUUGCCUCCCAAGAAGCGCUUGCUUUAACGUCUUCGAGCCGGACGAAACUUCCUUCUAAACUUGGAUAGGGCCCAUAGCAUGGAAUUGAUCCUUGAAUGGAAGGUAAUACUUGACGUGAUCCGAAAAUGGUUUAAAUUCUAGCGUAGGUGCCUGAAUCAUCAAAAUCAGCAAGUUAGUAUAUAAUAAAAUCGAAGUUAGAGAAGAUGGCUUACUUGCUUGCUCCAACACAAACUUAAUUACGAACACCACAUCUUUGAAGGUUGCAGGGAUAUGGGACUUGGCCAGAUUUGGUGUUGAGAGUUAUGACUUGUCCCGUGUCAUAAAAUCCAACUUCUUUGGGAAUUUUCAUCUCAAGUGUAUCUUCUUUGAUGAAUUCUAGACAUUCCCCAUCCACUUGCUCUUGAUUCUUUGGAAAGGUUUCGAAGAUGCCUUUCUCACCCUCAUAUUCCUUGGAUUGCAUGAUCUUGCAAGGAAUAAGGACAGUUGGUGAAACGGGGUCAGGACAAAUUGAAUUUAGGCUUACCUUGGUUGUAGUGGACGGCAUAAAGGGCAUAUGGGGCUGCGGCAAGGGUGGUUCUUCCCUUGCCGUGGCCUUGUUAUUCUCCUCUUCUUUGAGCAGUAGCUGUUCAUCCAUGUUUUGGCUUGGUUUGGAUGUCUUGGGUUCACCUCCAACCUCCAUAGCACUUCCCAAAGUGAUAGCAUCAUGGAUUUCAAAAUCUUCCUUCAAAUUUUCAAUAGUUGAGUUGGAGAGUUCACUUUGCUCUUGAAUUUGUGCCAUGAACUCCAUAAUCUGCCCAAUUUGCUUCUCCAAUUCACCCGUCUUCUUGGCUUGAUUUUGCAUCUCUUUGUUUCGAUUUUCUACUUCCUGGUUCAAAGAGGUGUGUAACUUAUUAAACAUAUCAUUAUCCAAAGACAUACCUGAAUUGAAUUGGGCAGAUUGUUGUGGUGGCUGUGAUGGUUCAUAUGGCCAGUGAUAGAACUCAUCCGAUGGCGGCAAAUAUUCUUCUUGUUGUGAGCCAUGCGUCAAAGAGGUUAGUACAUCAAGAAUUUCAUCAUAAGUCAUAGGCAUACUUGAAUUUGAUUGGAAUUGUUGUGGAAGAGGUUGUGGUGGCUGCAUAGGUCUUAAAUAGAACUUCUCUUCUUGCUGCCAAUAUCCAUCUUAUUGGAAUUGUUGAGGUUCUCCCCACAUGUAAUCUGAAUAAUCUCUCCAAUCCGAAUUGUAAGCGUUGGAAAACAUGUUGUUCCAUGAUUGGCUAUGGCCUUGAUAACCCUAAGCAUCUUCAUUCGCAGCGAAUUGAGAACAUUGAUGAGUUGGAUAUCCUUGCCCAUAGGACACACCAUAUGUAGGGACACUUUGCAUUAUGGUUCUUCGACAUAUUGUGACAAUUGAGAAGUAAGUUUCGCCAAUUGAGCUUGAAUGGUAACAAAAUCCAUGUCUUACUUCUCUAGUACCUGAAAUCAAGGAAACAAAACUAAAUCAAAUAUCAUAAGUAAAAAUAAAAGACACAAAUAGAAACAAAGUCAGUAACUAAAAUAAAAAACAUGAAAAAGAAACAACGGGGGAUUAGCAAAGUUGCUAAUCCCCGGCAACAGCGCCAAAAAUUUUGAUGCGAAAAUUAACUUAACACACAAAUUAAACCCUUUUGUUGUCAAAUUGUAGUAUAAAUGCAAGUAGGAAUCGUUCUAAACCGGAGAUUAAGAGGGCUUGCUAAAACCUCUAAACUGAUUUAAAAACAUAUAAACAAAGUUAAAAACACUAAACUAGACUCAAAGAACUUAAAACAAACUCAAAGGACUCAAAACAAGCUAAAAACGCUCAAAUCUGCCUAAAAACACAAACUGGGCAGAUUUGGACUUUAACACACUUUUGGGACACCUAAAAACACAAAUCAAAAUAGAUUUUGACUAAUAAAACACUUUAAAGUAAAAAGGGUUUUGGUUUUGACGAAUUUGAAAACAAAACAAGUAAAUUAAAGAACUAAUGAAAUCUGCACGAAUUUAAGUAAAUUGAAUGGAUGGAAGACUAGCUAGGAGGUUCUUCUCCACACAUGACAUACUUGCACAUAAACCAAUUUUCAGUUGUUCUUUCGAUCAAUCAUGAAAACUCAACACCCCCAGGUUAAUUAAGUCCGCUUAAAUUAACCUUCAAGUUCUCCUUAAGUUAUUGAAUUGGAUGGGAAAGCGCAUACAACAAUUCAAGCAUUCUUCAAAAGUUCUUUACGUGAACAGCACAAUAAAGAUACAAUCAAAGAUCAUUAAGCAUUAUGAAAACUAUAAGUAUUGACGAGGCAUUCGUUACUAUGAUGAGCAUGAAACUCCUGCCAAGAAUUUAUUUAACGCGAUCGUUUAUAAGCGACCUCCACUACUUGUGAAUGUAAGUUUGUAACUAUUAGGUGAAACUCCCUUAUACUCUAGCAUCAUAUUCAUGCAUGCAAACUAAGUGUGCACUCUUAAUAAACAUACACGAAUAAGUUAUCAAUCAAGCAGUUAAACAAAUUGAAUUCACAACUUAUGAAAUCAUAAUUGAAGGUAAUCAAAUCAUAUUGCAAGCAUGAACAUGGUUUCGAAUUCCCCCUAGAUAAGGGGGGUUUAGCUCCUCAUACUCACAAAGCAAAGAUAAAAAAAUUUAGAUAUUGAAAACAAAGAAUGAAAACACCUAAAAACGCUCCAACAAUCCAACUUGAAUGGCAAGCACGUCCAAGGGUCCUCCUUCUUCUCUUUGUUGCAGCACAAGGUGUGGUUUUAUAGAUGAGUGGUAAAUUAUCGUGGUGGAUGGAAAUAGGUGAGUUAUGGUGAAGGGUGGAUGGGUGGAUUGUGUUCUCUCGGCCAAGGAAUGAAAGUGUAAGUGUAUGAAGUUGUGAGAUGUGAAUGUAGUGUCUUUUGAUAGAUCUUUUUCUCCUUUGUUAUGGUGAAUGGUGGAUGUAUUUAUAGGCUAGGGAGAGGACCACCAUCUAAUUAAGGUGGUAGUGAUGAGUGUUGUGGUAAUGAGUGGAUGUAAUGGGUGUGGUGGAUGAAUGUUUGGUAAUGAGUGGAUGUAAUGGGUGUGGUGGAUGAAUGUUUGGUAAUGAAUGGAUGUAAUGGUUGUAGUGGGUGGAUGUUUGAUAAUGAGUGGAUGUAAUGGGUGUAGUGGAUGAGUGUUUGGUAAUGAGUGGAUGUAAUGGGUGUAGUGGGUGAGUGUUUGGUAAUGAGUAGAUGUAAUGAGUGUAGUGGAUGGAUGUUUGGUAAUGAGUGGAUGUAAUGGGUGUAGUGGAUGGAUGUUUGGAGUUGUAGGUCAACACACUUGCACACACACAUGCUGAUUUCUAGCCUUCAAAUCUUCAAAAACGUCUAUCCUCAUGUCUCCUUGCUUGCACUAUCCAAUCUUGGCCCAAAAAUGCUUCAAAAUGCUCCAAAUAGCACUUUGUUGCUAACUUUGUUAUUUAAACUUACAAAUACACGAAAAUAGCUUAAAGUACUAAAAUAACUAGAAUUAAACUAAGUAAAUGCCAAGAAACAAGCUAACUAAGUUGCAUAAAUAUGCUCCUAUCAAAGGUUGACUCGAACACAUGGCAAGCAGGCAUGAGGUGAAGGUGACGACUUGUUGCUUUGUUCAAUCUUUCUAAUUCACACCUGAGCAGUUUGGUCAACGGUAUGAUCUUUAAGAUUGAUGGGCUCUUCUUCCAGUUGGUGACUUGAUCUUUAAGGAUUUGAUUCAAGGGUGGUGAAUCGGCACGUGCAGCCCAC